GACGAACGCUGGCGGCGUGCUUAACACAUGCAAGUCGAGCGGUAAGGCCCUUUCGGGGGUACGACGAGCGGCGAACGGGUGAGUAACACGUGGGUGACCUGCCCUCAGCUCUGGGAUAAGCCUGGGAAACUGGGUCUAAUACUGGAUAUGACUCCACGGUGCAUGUCGUGGGGUGGAAAGCCUUGUGCGGCUGAGGAUGGGCCCGCGGCCUAUCAGCUUGUUGGUGGGGUGAUGGCCUACCAAGGCGACGACGGGUAGCCGGCCUGAGAGGGCGACCGGCCACACUGGGACUGAGACACGGCCCAGACUCCUACGGGAGGGCAGCAGUGGGGAAUCUUGCGCAAUGGGCGAAAGCCUGACGCAGCGACGCCGCGUGAGGGAUGACGG
This 387-nucleotide ribosomal RNA is filed under the name uncultured bacterium. RNAcentral describes it as "bacterial SSU rRNA". It matches the Rfam family "Bacterial small subunit ribosomal RNA", at positions 28 to 414 of the family's 1533-position model. The record is from RNAcentral.